This 305-nucleotide signal recognition particle RNA is filed under the name Gopherus evgoodei (Goodes thornscrub tortoise). Its description in RNAcentral is "Metazoan signal recognition particle RNA (ENSGEVG00005011763.1)". It matches the Rfam family "Metazoan signal recognition particle RNA". Rfam says of the family: The signal recognition particle (SRP) is a universally conserved ribonucleoprotein. Lineage: Eukaryota; Metazoa; Chordata; Testudines; Testudinidae. The record is from Rfam by way of RNAcentral.
GCCUGAAAUUGUAAGUGCGAGAGCCUGUAAUGAGCCCGGCACCCAGGCAGGCUGCAGCCGGCGGAUCGCUUGAGCUCAGGAGCUCUGGGCUGCAGUGGGCUGUGCCGGUCAAGUAUCAGUACUAAGUUUGGCAUCAAUAUGGUGAUCCCUGGGGAGCUUGGGGUCCCCAGGCUGCCUAAGGAGGGGUGAACCGGCCCAGGUUGGGAACGGAGCAGGUCAAAACUCCCGUGCCGAUCAGUAGUGGGAUCGUGCCUGUGAAUAGCCCCUGCAGCGUAGCCUGGGCAGACAGCGAGACACGGUCUCUU